This 176-nucleotide long non-coding RNA is filed under the name Astyanax mexicanus (Mexican tetra). RNAcentral describes it as "lncRNA (ENSAMXG00005000493.1)". Lineage: Eukaryota; Metazoa; Chordata; Actinopteri; Characiformes; Acestrorhamphidae. The record is from RNAcentral.
GAGGUAUAGUUGGGGGUUUAGAGGGUAUAGUAGUAGGAGGAGAAGCACGGAGCUGCUGGAUGGAGAGAAACAGGAGUAGAACUGAUGAAGGAAACAAUGGAGAAAUGGAAGUGAUGCCCUGAUGCAAGCCACCUCCUGAUGCUAGUGUUAAACUUCACAAACUUCUCAACGUUUUA